Molecule: ribosomal RNA, 403 nt
Filed under: uncultured bacterium
Lineage: Bacteria
Description: bacterial SSU rRNA
Rfam family: Bacterial small subunit ribosomal RNA
Source: RNAcentral
AGGGAAUCUUCCACAAUGGGCGCAAGCCUGAUGGAGCAACACCGCGUGAGUGAAGAAGUAUUUCGGUAUGUAAAGCUCUAUCAGCAGGGAAGAAGAUGACAGUACCUGAGUAAGAAGCCCCGGCUAACUACGUGCCAGCAGCCGCGGUAAUACGUAGGGGGCAAGCGUUAUCCGGAUUUACUGGGUGUAAAGGGAGCGCAGACGGAUGGAUAAGUCUGAAGUGAAAGCCCGCGGCUCAACUGCGGGACUGCUUUGGAAACUGUGCAUCUUGAGUACGGGAGGGGCAGGCGGAAUUCCUGGUGUAGCGGUGAAAUGCGUAGAUAUCAGGAGGAACACCGGCGGCGAAGGCGGCCUGCUGGACCGAAACUGACGUUGAGGCUCGAAAGCGUGGGGAGCAAACAGG